UACGUAGGGUGCAAGCGUUGUCCGGAAUUAUUGGGCGUAAAGAGCUCGUAGGCGGUCUGUCGCGUCUGCUGUGAAAUCUCAGGGCUUAACCCUGAGCUUGCAGUGGGUACGGGCAGACUAGAGUGCGGUAGGGGAGACUGGAAUUCCUGGUGUAGCGGUGAAAUGCGCAGAUAUCAGGAGGAACACCGAUGGCGAAGGCAGGUCUCUGGGCCACUACUGACGCUGAGAAGCGAAAGCAUGGGGAGCGAACAGG
Molecule: ribosomal RNA, 253 nt
Filed under: uncultured bacterium
Lineage: Bacteria
Description: partial 16S ribosomal RNA
Rfam family: Bacterial small subunit ribosomal RNA
Source: RNAcentral